RNAcentral lists this long non-coding RNA (348 nucleotides) under Actinidia chinensis (golden kiwifruit). RNAcentral's name for it is "long non-coding RNA (ACHI_LNC003957)". The record is from RNAcentral. Lineage: Eukaryota; Viridiplantae; Streptophyta; Magnoliopsida; Ericales; Actinidiaceae.
AAACUUAAAAUAAACUUGACUUUAAGCAUUACCAAAUAAAGCCUUAAUACAUCAAUUGAAAUGGAUAGACAUUCUAUGUAGUAUUUACACCAGAAAUGCUACUGUUACCGAAAGUUUUACCGAAUUUGUUAUCGAUAGCACCAAAACGACGACGUUUUGGUGCAAAAAAAUCAAAACGAUGUCGUUCAACUAAAUAGAUUCUUACCGGGAAGAACUAUUUUAGUACCUAAAAUAUCGUCGUUUUGGUGCUAUCGAUAAUAAAUUUGAUAAAACUUUCGGUGAACGUAGCAUUGCUGGUAUUUACACUCCCCACUCAUCAGAAAUCUCAGGCGAAUGGAUAGACAUUCU